GGCAAUGUCCUCCACCCUACUCCUGUGUCUCCUUUCCAGCAGGAAGAGUCAAGCGGCCAGGCAGAUAGAGACAGGGGAGCUGCAAGUUCUCGCGAGUAUCAGAAGUCACGGGCUGUUCUCAGCUGGUUGUGCAGGCUUGCGCACUCCGACACCAGCCUUAUCCAGCUACAGGGAUGGUACCACAAGAGGGUGUAUAAAACUGGUGGUAUUUAAAUAUCUGAAGAGGCAGAGCCAUUGUCAAUCGUUACUGGCACCUUGAAAAAGAUCCUAGUGAAGGGUGGAAACGCGUUGGUGGGUGUAUAGGCGUCCUGACUCCGCUCAACAGUGGUGAUUACCCGGACAGCUGCUUGCCUGUGGGGAAACCCUGGGAAUUCUUUCCCAUGAACUCUCAUGCUGUUAUGAACUGUUUCAUUGCAGUUCCAACACCUUUGGAGUUUCCUCUGCAAUGAGGAUAAACUGGUGGAAAUCAUCAAAGAGUUAAAACUACCAAGGAGCGCUAGUUAAGUAAUUUAUCCGUUAUUUCUAUUUGAUUUGCGUGUAUAUGGCUGUCUAUGUUAUUAUCUGAGCAUCCAUGCUUACGGUGGCAUCACCCACUGUUUUUCUGUCUGCAGCCAUCAUCAUGAUGGAAUUUACAACCAACCCCGCCAUACUGGGUGAAAAAGAUCUCUCUGAAACAUGUGUCUCAUCUCUGUCCAUGUGCCUCAAACCACCACAAAAGACUGGCUAGGCUCUCAUGACACUCUGUGUGUCUGCACAGUGACCACUCAGUUACCACCCAAAAAUGCAGAGUUCACAGACGGAGAGAAGCGGCCACGCACGGAUCAAACGAAACACUCUUGUAUGCUCUGUCAAGGUGAACAUGCAUGGUGCGGCAGAGGCUUGUUUUCAGUGCAUGCGUAGGCUGCUGAUAAUGGUGGGGUGUGUCUGCCUUUGGACUUCUGCCC
Long non-coding RNA from Pseudophryne corroboree (corroboree frog), 944 nucleotides. RefSeq lists it as uncharacterized. NCBI's taxonomy places the organism in Eukaryota, Metazoa, Chordata, Amphibia, Anura, Myobatrachidae. The record is from RefSeq and is a predicted model, not a curated record. The transcript has 3 exons.